This 301-nucleotide ribosomal RNA is filed under the name uncultured bacterium. RNAcentral's name for it is "partial 16S ribosomal RNA". It matches the Rfam family "Bacterial small subunit ribosomal RNA", at positions 509 to 807 of the family's 1533-position model. The record is from RNAcentral.
CAGUAGCCACGGUAAAACGGAGGGGGCUAGCGUUGUUCGGAAUUACUGGGCGUAAAGCGUACGUAGGCGGCUUUGUAAGUUAGAGGUGAAAGCCUGGUGCUCAACACCAGAACUGCCUUUAAGACUGCAUCGCUUGAACGUCGGAGAGGUGAGUGGAAUUCCGAGUGUAGAGGUGAAAUUCGUAGAUAUUCGGAAGAACACCAGUGGCGAAGGCGGCUCACUGGACGACUGUUGACGCUGAGGUACGAAAGCGUGGGGGGCAAACAGGAUUAGAUACCCCGGUAGUCCCUGUCUCUUAUAC